GUAAGUUCCGAUCUCCCUCAUGGGCCGCAAGCUAUUACGGUAUUCUAUGCAACCGCAACAGCUUUAAAGCCCAUAAAAAUGCAGAUGGCAUAGAACGCCAAAACAGCUUGCAGCCCAGGAGGGAGAUCAGAACUUA
This is a non-coding RNA of Pelobates cultripes (western spadefoot toad), 136 nucleotides long. Lineage: Eukaryota; Metazoa; Chordata; Amphibia; Anura; Pelobatidae. The record is from the annotation of a GenBank genome assembly.